CAGGACCAGUGGGCCUCGAUCCCACAAACUUUCAGUUAACAGCUGAAAACCCAAUCCAGAGGGUAUUAGUCCA
This 73-nucleotide transfer RNA is filed under the name Sitana ponticeriana (Pondichry fan throated lizard). RNAcentral describes it as "tRNA-Asn". The record is from RNAcentral. Lineage: Eukaryota; Metazoa; Chordata; Lepidosauria; Squamata; Agamidae.